This 253-nucleotide ribosomal RNA is filed under the name uncultured bacterium. Its description in RNAcentral is "partial 16S ribosomal RNA". It matches the Rfam family "Bacterial small subunit ribosomal RNA", at positions 524 to 776 of the family's 1533-position model. The record is from RNAcentral.
UACGUAGGUGGCGAGCGUUAUCCGGAAUGAUUGGGCGUAAAGGGAACGCAGGCGGUCUUUUAAGUCUGAUGUGAAAGCCUUCGGCUUAACCGGAGUAGUGCAUUGGAAACUGGGAGACUUGAGUGCAGAAGAGGAGAGUGGAACUCCAUGUGUAGCGGUGAAAUGCGUAGAUAUAUGGAAGAACACCAGUGGCGAAAGCGGCUCUCUGGUCUGUAACUGACGCUGAGGUCCGAAAGCGUGGGUAGCAAACAGG